CCUACGGGUGGCAGCAGUGAGGAAUAUUGGUCAAUGGACGAGAGUCUGAACCAGCCAAGUAGCGUGAAGGAUGACUGCCCUAUGGGUUGUAAACUUCUUUUAUAUGGGAAUAAAAUGUUCCACGUGUGGGAUUUUGUAUGUACCAUAUGAAUAAGGAUCGGCUAACUCCGUGCCAGCAGCCGCGGUAAUACGGAGGAUCCGAGCGUUAUCCGGAUUUAUUGGGUUUAAAGGGAGCGUAGGUGGAUUGUUAAGUCAGUUGUGAAAGUUUGCGGCUCAACCGUAAAAUUGCAGUUGAAACUGGCAGUCUUGAGUACAGUAGAGGUGGGCGGGAUUCGUGGUGUAGCGGUGGAAUGCUUAGAUAUCACGAAGAACUCCGAUUGCGAAGGCAGCUCACUGGACUGCAACUGACACUGAGGCUCGAAAGUGUGGGUAUCAAACAGGAUUAGAUACCCUUGUAGUC
Molecule: ribosomal RNA, 460 nt
Filed under: uncultured bacterium
Lineage: Bacteria
Description: partial 16S ribosomal RNA
Rfam family: Bacterial small subunit ribosomal RNA
Source: RNAcentral